This 467-nucleotide ribosomal RNA is filed under the name uncultured bacterium. RNAcentral's name for it is "partial 16S ribosomal RNA". It matches the Rfam family "Bacterial small subunit ribosomal RNA", at positions 29 to 507 of the family's 1533-position model. The record is from RNAcentral.
ACGCACGCUGGCGGCGUGCUUAACCCAUGCAAGUCGAACGGAAAGGCCCUGCUUUUGUGGGGUGCUCGAGUGGCGAACGGGUGAGUAACACGUGAGUAACCUGCCCUUGACUUUGGGAUAACUUCAGGAAACUGGGGCUAAUACCGGAUAGGAGCUCCUGCUGCAUGGUGGGGGUUGGAAAGUUUCGGCGGUUGGGGAUGGACUCGCGGCUUAUCAGCUUGUUGGUGGGGUAGUGGCUUACCAAGGCUUUGACGGGUAGCCGGCCUGAGAGGGUGACCGGCCACAUUGGGACUGAGAUACGGCCCAGACUCCUACGGGAGGCAGCAGUGGGGAAUAUUGCACGAUGGGCGGAAGCCUGAUGCAGCGACGCCGCGUGCGGGAUGACGGCCUUCGGGUUGUAAACCGCUUUCGCCUGUGACGAAGCGUGAGUGACGGUAAUGGGUAAAGAAGCACCGGCUAACUACGUG